GCCCUUCCUACGGGAGGCAGCAGUAGGGAAUCUUCCACAAUGGACGAAAGUCUGAUGGAGCAACGCCGCGUGUGUGAUGAAGGGUUUCGGCUCGUAAAACACUGUUGUAAGAGAAGAAUGACAUUGAGAGUAACUGUUCAGUGUGUGACGGUAUCUUACCAGAAAGGAACGGCUAAAUACGUGCCAGCAGCCGCGGUAAUAAGGGCAA
This 208-nucleotide ribosomal RNA is filed under the name uncultured bacterium. Its description in RNAcentral is "partial 16S ribosomal RNA". It matches the Rfam family "Bacterial small subunit ribosomal RNA", at positions 332 to 532 of the family's 1533-position model. The record is from RNAcentral.